AAAGGGAACAAAAUCUAAGAAAGGAGAUAAAUUAAAGAUGUUGGUAGAAAAAGUAAUGAAAUUUAAAAUACUACAGAAUUAGGGAAAACACAGAUUAAGGUGUAGGACAGGAAAAGAUGAACAAGAGUAAAACUAAGGAAAGUUAAAUGAGUGAAAAGAGAGAGAUGAACAUACCAGACAUAGGGGCAGCUGAUUAUCGACUGUCUUGCACCUCGUGUAGUCAUUUGCCUCUAUACAAAGUGAGUGUAAAAAGAUUUAGAAUUUGCCACUCAUACUGGUAUAGUGUUUUAAAUCCACUUUUCACUCAUUUUUCACUGCUGUAAAUUACUACACAAGAUACAAGGCAGUGGAGAAUCACACUUGGCAAGUUUCGUUCUGUUUUACAACGUUUUUAUCUGAUUAAAAUAAUAUUUACUUACAUACAUUUCUGGUAUGUUGAGUCUGGUUGGUAACAUCAUGAGUUACAUUCUAGCAUUUUAUUGUUCAAUCUUUUAAACUUAAAACUCCUCUUGGUUUUUAUUUUGUCACUAUAGUAGACAUUGUAUGUCACUUUGAAAGAAAAUAUGUUUUUGUGAUAUUUUGGAGUGCAUUUUCUUGUUCCUCGUAUUAAGUCUACAGAAUGUACCUGUUUUAUUUGCCCACUUGCCUGCUGCUGGAGGGACAUGCACUGUUCAUCACUGUUUGGCAUCUAUGAAUGCUAAUUCUUGGCAACUGGAGGAGGAACAGGUCUGUACUUGACCAACUCUUUGACUCAUGGUUUACAUUCUUUGUGACGUGAAUUGCUUUUCCUCAACAGCUUUUGUUCGAUUUCUGUGUUGGUAUGACUGUUUGAGUCCUGUGCUGCAAGCCUGUUGUACGCAAUGCGUGAGGCUGCUGCUCACAAGUAUUUUUUUCUGGUCUGCUGGAGAUCUCUUAGAGUAUGUCUUUACUACCAACGUUAAAGUGCUGCCAUGGCAGCUGUGUAGUAAAAAAACCCACCCCCGUGAUGGGAGUAGCUCCCAGUGCUCUGAGCGCUAUAGCACUGUCUACACUGCCACUUUACAGCGCUGAAACUUGCAUCGCUCAGGGUGUGUUUUUUCACACCCCUAAGCGAGAAAGUUUCAGUACUGUAAAGUGGCACUGCAGACAAGGCCUUAGUUUCUGCAGCAUUUAAGCUGACAUUUAAAGGGGGUGGUGGUGGAGGGGAAGGCAUUUCUAGCUCAUGUGGUUGUGAAUGUGACCCAGAUUGUGUGAUUGAUUUUUGCAGAUGCGUAGUUGCAAUUAGCUAAGUUAUGUCCUUACUCAGAAGAUCUGAUCUGUAUAUAUUCAGAAUACUAUUUGAUUCUUUUUCUUACAAAAAUAAAAUAUUUCACACUACCCAGCCAGGGUAGGAGAGUGCAGUAUGGCUCUGACAUCAUCAGUGGAAUUGUUAACACAGUCUUCAUUAUGGGUGACAAUACAUGAACUAGAAAGAGCAGAGCAUUUACUUCUGAUUUUGAUAAGUUUUCACGUAAAGUUACAAAAAGCCCUCUUUUUUUUUUUUUUUAGUUGUAGACUGUACAAAUUUAAUAUGGAAGUUUACUGUGAGAAAGUAAGCAUGGUGCUUCAUAGUGACAAUUUUCCAGAGUAUAAGCAAAAUGUAAGGUUGAGAUACUGUGCUGUGUCUCCAAGAGGUGCAGCACAGACCUCCCAGUCUAAGGAGAGGGAGUCUGGGACCGUGCUGACAUCGCUUUAAGCCACCUUCAUGCCCUCCUGAUCUGGGGCUGCUCUGGGAUUGGAGAAGACCCCAGUGUAAUUUAGAUGGUCUUGGGGGCCUGUCUAAGUGAUAGCAGUCGCAGCACUGCCUAGCCAACGUCAGCAGCAAUUUGCGCGGCAGCCCUAUCUCUGUUUUGCCACUCUCAUCCCUACCAUCAUCUUGAGUCCUUUUUUAGGACUUACUUUGGUUAGAUGUUGCAUUGGUCAUGAGUACUAGGUUGGUGCCAUUGACUUUGGUUUUGAGAAAAUGUGCACUCGUCCUUACCCCACAAAUUGACCUAGAUUUUGCAUGCAGUGUUGUUUUAGCCAUCUUGGUCCCAGGAUGUCAGAGAGAGAAGAUGGGUGAGGAAACAUCUUUCACUGGGACAACUUCUGUUGGUGAGAGAAACAGCGAACAGAUCAUGAGAAAUGGGGAGCACUCCUUAAGAUCUCACACUGACACCUGCAGAGGAAGAGUAGCAUUGUGUUCAAGCAUAACAGCACUUUUCCCAUGGCUCCUAUUGUGACUGAAUUUGAGUAAGAUUAUGUAACCAUAGUCAAUUUCACUCUGCAGCAGUGCUGCAGGUAAAGUACAAAUAGGCAAAAGGGUAGCACUAGUCUUUCUCUGUAGAUUUUGUUACUUGAAAAUUUGCAAUUACAGAAAUACUAUUUAAUGAUAUGACAUAUGGAGUGUUAUUAGAAACCUUAUCUAUGUGUUUUAAAUUCUGAUAAAUCUUCAUAUGCCUUGAAAUAUUGUGUUUAAUUUCCUCUCUUGGAGAAGAGAAUGAGUUUUAAUAAGCAAGGCAAGCUAUAGCAGCUAUAAAAUUUUUCUAAUAAAAAUGCAAUUUCCAUAGCAUUGAGAAAAUUGGAUUUGUGGUGAUUUUUUUUUCUCUAGCCAAUAUUUUGUGAAAUGAUUUUGGAAAAAGACAGCCAUAUGUUUGCUUAAGCUUUCAAUAGAGACACUCUGUUUCCACUGUUUUGUAGGACUGUGAAAUGCUUCACUGCUUGGGUCCAUCUGCCCAACAUACUGCAAUAUUUGCUUUUCUGUAGCUUACAUAACAUUAGACUCUGUUCCUCCUGAUAGAGAGUAAAUAGCUGUGUGUAGUCUUGCAUGCCUGUUUUCACAUAAUUGUGUAAACCAAAAACUGUGUUUGAGAUGUGCAGAGAUACUUAGCAUUCCUUAUUAGCUAAUGCGUAAACAUAAUUAAAAUAGUGGUUUUAAAGGUCUGACUGAAAUAUAUAAAAGGCAGAAAAUGCAAAGUCCAGGCUAAAACUCACUACUUCUGUGUCAGACAGUUGUGGCUGGGUAUUUCAGCUCAUAUGGUAUGUGAAAUCACCCAGUGCUCUGUGAGCCCCUGACAGGAGCCAGCUGUUUCAAAUGCAACAUCUAGACUCAAGGGAAUAAGCUAAAGUUAGAGUUUGGGGAAUAAGCUAAAGUCAGAGUGUGAGUCUGUAAGUCCUGGCUCUAGAUUUCUGUCAUUUGUUUAGUUUCCUUUUUAGUUAGUGUUCCUUUCUUUGUUAGUUUCAGGGGGAAGAGAGAGAGCAGGGGACUUUGUGAAGCCUUUAAUAUUUACCAGAUACCUUUGAAAAGCCUUCUCAUGACCCAUUAAGGUCAUGCAGAUCUGCCUAUGGGUGUUUCCAGGUCUGUACCCUUUCAUUUUAAAAAGCAAUUGAAAGGCCUGGAUUAUCUUAAAGCAAUGGCAAAAAGCAACAUCUGCAGGAAGAUUAUAAAUGUUAAUAAUUAAAUAGACUAAGUUUAUACCUACUAGAGAACGUUUUAAUACUUUUUGCUGAAGUGUUCUGGGUUAGCUUAAGAUGGCUUCUGUGAAGAUGGAAAAUUUUGGUUGCAGCUGUAGAUAGAAAAAGGAAAUGGUUGGGUGUAAUGAUAUUUAACAAGAAUGUAACUUCCUAUUACUCUGAGUUUUGCAGGCCCAUUGUGUUUCCUGUCAAUAACCUCCUCCCCCAUUCUUUCAAGUGAGGAGCUAGUUAUUGUGUGCAAGAUGAAUAUUAAAAUGCACUUAUGCAUGAAAGUGAAAUACUUGAAGUAGGGCUGCUGAAUUGCCAAAAAUGGGCCGUUCUACACAGGGGAAAGUUUUAAAUAAACUCUGCUGAUGAAAGACUUUUGGUCAACAUUCCCCCAACUUUUGGUCAACCUUCCCCCAAUCACUAAUAAAAUUAUGUAUAAACUUAUUGUAAUGACCAGAUGUUUCAACUCUGUCACCUUCUCAUCUCUAUUUGAUGCCAGUUUUCUUUUUCUUUUCUUUUCUUUUUUUUUUAACCUUCACCUUUUUUUCUGUUAACUUGUGUUUAUUGUAGUGUUCAAGAGAAUUUAACAAAGGCAGCCAGGAUAAAAUCAAUGUUUAUUUUGUCGUAAUUCUUUGGCUCUUUUUACACUAGAGUUCAAAGCAUGUUAGACAAAACUGGGUUUAAAAACCACUCUUGUCUGAAACACAGCUUUCUUAGGCAGUGUAAAAAUGGCUGAAUAAUGUUGAAAUGUGUUAUAUCGUGGUUUAGAAAAAUGCACGUAGACCAGCAUUAAGUACAACGUAGUCCGUGACUUGAUCAAUGAUUCUGCUUCCUUAAGAAUAUAUUUUCCUAUCUAUUUCACAAAGAUGUUGUGCAGUUUGGUUAAUUUUUGUAAAGCACUUCUUUGUGAACUUUGGAUGAAGAGGUACUAUUGCAGUUCGAAGUAUUAUUAAGAUCCAUAAGCAGGAUGUCUUGCGUAGAAUUUUAGCCUAAGAAAAGUGAAUGCUGACAUUGGAGAAGUGUGUUUUUAUGUACAGUAAGUAUUUCACUUUUUUAUAAUUGGUUUUAAGAAACAGGUUAAUUAGUACCACAUUCUCGAGAACUAGGCCAGCAUUUUCAAAGCUCAUGGCCUAAAAUUAGGAACCUAAAUAAACAGACUGGUUUACAGAGCACUUGGUAGCUCCCAGUGAAGCCAAUGGGAGUUAGGAGUGCUAAGCAUUUUUCAAAAUCAGACCAAGUUAUUUAUAUUUUUGUUCGUAUAGCAUGUACCCAGGUUUGAAUAUUUUGAUGUGAGAUACUUCGUAUAUGAAUAACUCUUCAGAAUUAACUUUUCGAAAGUAACGAAUGUUUUGUGGGAGGAACAAGUUCAGUCACUUUAAGUGGCCUGAGAUUUCAGAGGGCUGAGCUACCUGUAUUGCCAACACCAAGCAUUUAAAAUUCAUUAAUCAAGCCACUCUCUCCUCAAACCAGCCAGUGGUUUAAAAACAAUGAUUUAGAAAAUAAACAAAAAAACUUGAAGAUC
This is a long non-coding RNA of Gopherus evgoodei (Goodes thornscrub tortoise), 4981 nucleotides long. RefSeq lists it as uncharacterized. NCBI's taxonomy places the organism in Eukaryota, Metazoa, Chordata, Testudines, Testudinidae. The transcript has 2 exons. The record is from RefSeq and is a predicted model, not a curated record.